Molecule: RNA transcript, 793 nt
Organism: Cephus cinctus (wheat stem sawfly)
Lineage: Eukaryota; Metazoa; Arthropoda; Insecta; Hymenoptera; Cephidae
Exons: 2
Source: RefSeq, a predicted model, not a curated record
AUGAUGGCUGAUAUGUUUGUUGCUGAUGUGAAAUCUUCUACAUCAUCAAUUGCAAUUGAAAAUGUAUAUAAUUCAGAUCAGAGUGGGUUCCAAUUAGAAAUGCAUUCUGGAAGAACAUUAGCAGUUGAAGGAGAAAAGCAAGUGCAAUGCCUAGUACAGUCAGUUUCAUCAACAACGCAUAGUUACACUAUACAACCACUUAUAUCAGCUACUGGACAACUUCUCUCACCGCUUUUUCUUGUUUUAAAAGAAUCAACUGGUCAAUUUGGCCCUGUUGUAGAAAAAAACUUAUUUAGACCAGAAAACGUGUAUGUAGAAGCAUCAAGAUCUGGAAAAUUAACUACAGAUAUCUUCAAAGUUUGGUUAGAAAAAGUAUUUUAUCCACAUGUAGGUGCUCAAUCUAUGUUAUUACUCGAUUCCUGGAGUGGACACUGUGAUAAAGUUAUAGAAGAAACGAUUCCAGAAAAUAAAAUUGUUAAUGUAAAAAAAAAUACCAACAGGAACAACAGGAAAAAUUCAACCACUUGAUGUAUAUGGAUUUCGCAUAUGGAAAAACUUUGUACGACAUUUUUCAGAUCAAGUGACUUUGAUGAAUUAUGACUUAAAUUUACAUUUGAGAAAUAACAUCAUAAAAAUGCAAUCUCUAGUUCAUAAUCAGCUUUCCUUGCCGAGAUAUAAGAAUAUGUUUAAAUAUUCCUGGUACAAAAGUGGUUACAUUAAUGAAAAACCAGAUAAAUUUGAAAAUCCUGUUGAGUUCUCUUUUGGGGAUUCUUGUAAUGUACAGAUACUUUAG